AACGAACGCUGGCGGCAGGCCUAACACAUGCAAGUCGAACGAUACCAUCGGGCCGCGUGGCGCACGGCUGCGUAACGCGUGGGAACCUGCCCUUAUGUUCGGAAUAACUCCCCGGAAGGGGUGCUAUUAUCGGAUAAUUACUUCGGACCAAAGAUCUAUCGCGGUUGGAUGGGGCCGCGUUGGGUUAGCUGGUUCGUAGGGUAAAAGCCUACCAAGGCGACGAUCCAGAGCUGGGAAGUGAGAAUGAGCAGCCACACUGGAGCUGAGACACGGCCCAGACUCUUACGGGAGGGAGCCGUGGCGGAUAUUGGCCAACGGGCUAAAGCAUGAACCAGCACUGCCGCGUGAGUGAUGACGGCGUUAGGGUUGGAAAUCUCUUUUACACGGGAUGAUAAUGACGGUACCGGGAGAAUAAGCUCCGGCUAACUCCGUG
RNAcentral lists this ribosomal RNA (433 nucleotides) under uncultured bacterium. RNAcentral describes it as "partial 16S ribosomal RNA". It matches the Rfam family "Bacterial small subunit ribosomal RNA", at positions 29 to 507 of the family's 1533-position model. The record is from RNAcentral.